Molecule: unclassified non-coding RNA, 1418 nt
Filed under: Hevea brasiliensis (rubber tree)
Lineage: Eukaryota; Viridiplantae; Streptophyta; Magnoliopsida; Malpighiales; Euphorbiaceae
Source: RNAcentral
GUUUUAAUGGGUUUCAUUUUGGCAUAUAAGGUGAUCAUUGGCCAUAUUUACUGAUUGAUCUUCUCAGAGUGGUUGAUAAAUGUCAAAUGAAACUGAAAUCUCCCACCCACUUCCCUGCUGCCUACCUCCCUCCCUCUAAACCUAAAGUAUCCCCAUAAAAAGUGGGGAUAUGUACUUUGAGAGUAUAGAUUGGUCACCUUCACUGUCAUAUUUGCAAGCAACAAUCAUUCCAAGGAGUUUAUCCAUCUUGAUGCAUGGCAGAUUUGGACUAAUCUGCCCAUGUGUGCUUGUGACAGGUUAGGUUUGAUAAAAUUAGGGAUUUUGAAGAUGAUUUCAGUAUUGAACUAAAUUGUUGGGACUGAUUAAGAAAAAAGCAGAAAUAGAAGAAUAGUGUAUAGUAGAAAAGGGCAGGAAAAAAGAUAUUAGGGAAGAAAUAGGGAGAAUAGUGUAGAACAAGAGAGUAGAGAGAACAUGUGUUAUAUUCUUCAUUGAUUAUUUCUCUCAGAUCUGAAUGCCGUUUAUAUACUUUGAAUUUUUUGUGCUUACUGCUAACUGGCAGCAUAGCUGGCAUAACUAUGUCCCUAACUUCUUAUUCCUUUUUUCUUUGAUAUGUGACAAUAGUCAUAAUACCCCUCCCUCUAGUCCCUUCUCCUCCCCAAGAACGGAUUAAUUCUGGAAAUAAGGUUUCAUCCUCCCAAAUAGCAACUGCUGCUGUCAAAUUUACUCACUGAACAAGAAUGUGACAUGCUGAUCUCUUCCCACGUAGCAUCAGCUGCAUGAUUCUCAGUGCCCUUUUUGAAGAAAAUUUUGCAAUUAAGCCUGAGUAAUUUGGUGAAACCCUUCUUGAUGUAGAACCAAUAGGGUAAUGCGGAAUGAAGGGUUGAUCUAGUGGAAGUAGGAGCAAGGAAGUCAGCAUGGGAUUGCUGAGUCCCUGGGUGGAUUGGACCUGACUCGGGAUUUGAGGGUGCGUGGGUAGUCUGAUGAGAUUUCCUAUAACAGAACACGCCGAUUGAUGUGCGGCAAGCCUAUUGGGAUCAUGUUUUUGGAAAGAAGGCAUGAGUUGUCUCAAGUCAAACUCAACCCAAAUGGAUCAAGCUCAGGCGGUCGGACUUGCUUCGCGAAGGUCUCCUAGUGCUAAGUGGUCCUGUGGUGGUGGAUUUGCAGCUAUCUAGUGACUAGUGGUGGUGUCUCUAGAAGAGAUAGUUGUUUGUGUUCAUCAUCGUGAGAAUUGUUUCACAAGGCUGUGUUUCGCGUUUCUGUUUUGCUAUGGACAAUCGGAUUUGAAAGUUUCCAGUAUCGAAAGUUGGUAGAGUUUGUGAGGCUGGGUGAUGGCAUUGUGCUUGACGCAAGCUCGAUGAAGCAAGGUUGGUGGGUUUGGUUGGUAACACAGGAAUCCUUGGAGAGGGAGAGAGGGAGAG